RNAcentral lists this unclassified non-coding RNA (1077 nucleotides) under Hevea brasiliensis (rubber tree). The record is from RNAcentral. Lineage: Eukaryota; Viridiplantae; Streptophyta; Magnoliopsida; Malpighiales; Euphorbiaceae.
UCUCAUUUUGAACAUAUCUUUGUAAAGUCAUCACACGAUAUCAUCGAUCGAUAUGUGUCCGAAAAAGUGACAAAGCCAACAAAAAACCUCGCUAGUAAGGGGCAAUUGGCUUGUCUACAUUGUAUGCCCCGACGAUGGGAGAGUGAGGGCUUAAACAACCCCGGAAGAAGCAAAAAAGGAAAGUAAGACACAUAGUAGUAUAUAUACCGUCUUGUCACAAAUCUUGGCUGCUCAUUUUGAGUCGUCUUGUUGGUGAUGUUGGCGAACAAGGCAUGGAGGAAUCAGUGGAAUGUGUCGGUGAAUCAGUAGAGAGCGAUGAUGAGAAUGCUUUAGGGGACGAUGGAGAGGAAGUGGAUGGCGGUGAAGGUGUUGAUGAGAGGUCAAGUGAUGAGGGUGAAGGCGAGAGAGUUGGUGUUGAUGAAUCAUCAGACGAUGAUUCUGGCAACUUUCUCUUGUUCAUUCCUUUCUCUUCACCCCUAAAUCGAUCCUCGUUGAACAUGUAACUCUUCAAACGUUUUACGUCUGCCAAUUUCACCGGCUUCAAUAGGAAAUCUUCAGCGCCUUCUUCCAGACAUCUGUCGAUUCUAGCCAAAACAUUUUCAGAAGACAUGAUUACAACUGGAACUUCCCUAAAAGAUGAACCCUUAAUCUUUUUGAGCAAAUCAUAACCAGUCAUUCCAGGCAUACAAUAAUCUGUAAUUAUCAGAUCCACCUUCAAACCAUCAAUGGUAACAGAACUCUCUUCUUCAUCCAAUCCAAGAUAUUUCAAAGCUCUCAUUCCACUAUCCACAGUAGUCACUUUACAAGAUGUAUUUUUGAGGAGACGCUCAAUGACUAUUCUGUCCACAAGACUAUCAUCAACAGCAAGAACAUGAACUUCAUGAGUAGCCUCUGUUAACGGCAACAACUCAUCGUACUCCUCCACCUUCUCCGCCCUACGCCGCCGUGAAAACAUACCAUUUCUUGCCAUCUCACUCUACUAACAAAAUCAACAAAAAUGGAACAAAACCCACAAAUAUUUCACCAAAUUAAGAAAACCCCACAAAUUUUCUUGGAAAAAUUUGUGGGAAUUUGAAA